GCCCACUGAUGAGAUCAUGGCAACUUUUAUGAUCCAGUCAGACCAAGAGAUUGUGGCCUUUGCCUGCUGUUAGAUGGGUAGUCUUGGUAGUGUGAUUUAGUUGUAUUGCAUUGCUGUAAGGGCCCAUCCACAGUUAACUUGUCACUUUCUACAUUUUCUGUCCCCCCCCAGAGGAAUGGGAUGGGACUUGUAGGAGAUGUCAAACAAUGUACGGAUGUUUGUUUGUUUGUUUGUUUGUCUGUUUGUUGCUGAAUGAUUGUAUAUGUAUCAGCUGUCAAGCGGCCAUAGUCUCAGUAGUUGGUUUGGCGAUUAUGAACUAGUCUUUGGUAAUCUGAGGGCA
Small nucleolar RNA from Scatophagus argus, 340 nucleotides. NCBI's taxonomy places the organism in Eukaryota, Metazoa, Chordata, Actinopteri, Scatophagidae. The record is from RefSeq and is a predicted model, not a curated record.